Molecule: ribosomal RNA, 253 nt
Filed under: uncultured bacterium
Lineage: Bacteria
Description: partial 16S ribosomal RNA
Rfam family: Bacterial small subunit ribosomal RNA
Source: RNAcentral
GACAGAGGUGCCAAGCGUUAGGCGGAAUCACUGGGCUUAAAGCGUGUGUAGGCGGAUCGUUAAGUACCUUGUGAAAUCCCACGGCUCAACCGUGGAACUGCUGGGUAUACUGGCGAUCUUGAGCCACCUAGGGGCGAGCGGAACAAGCGGUGGAGCGGUGAAAUGCGUAGAUAUCGCUUGGAACGCCGAAGGUGAAAACAGGUCGCUGGGGAUGUGCCGACGCUGAGACACGAAAGCCAGGGGAGCAAACGGG